AUUGAACGCUGACGGCAUGCCUUACACAUGCAAGUCGAACGGCAGCACGGGUGCUUGCACCUGGUGGCGAGUGGCGAACGGGUGAGUAAUACAUCGGAACGUACCUUAUCGUGGGGGAUAACGCAGCGAAAGCUGUGCUAAUACCGCAUACGCCCUGAGGGGGAAAGUGGGGGAUCGAAAGACCUCGCGCGACUAGAGCGGCCGAUGCCUGAUUAGCUUGUUGGUGGGGUAAAAGCCCACCAAGGAGACGAUCAGUAGCUGGUCUGAGAGGACGAUCAGCCAGACUGGGACUGAGACACGGCCCAGACUCCGACGGGAGGCAGCAGUGGGGAAUUUUGGACAAUGGGGGCAACCCUGACCCAGCAAUGCCGCGUGAGUGAAGAAGGCCUUCGGGUUGUAAAGCUCUUUUGUCAGGGAAGAAACACCGGCUCUAACACAGUCCGGGAAUGACGGUACCUGAAGAAUAAGCACCGGCUAACUACGUGCCAGCAGCCGCCGUAA
RNAcentral lists this ribosomal RNA (501 nucleotides) under uncultured bacterium. RNAcentral describes it as "partial 16S ribosomal RNA". It matches the Rfam family "Bacterial small subunit ribosomal RNA", at positions 29 to 523 of the family's 1533-position model. The record is from RNAcentral.